GAUGAACGCUGGCGGCGUGCCUAAUACAUGCAAGUCGGGCGAACGGACGAGAAGCUUGCUUCUCUGAUGUUAGCGGCGGACGGGUGAGUAACACGUGGCUAACCUACCUAUAAGACUGGGAUAACUUCGGGAAACCGUAGCUAAUACCGGAUAAUAUUUUGAACCGCAUGGUUCAAAAGUGAAAGACGGUCUUGCUGUCACUUAUAGAUGGAUCCGCGCUGCAUUAGCUAGUUGGUAAGGUAACGGCUUACCAAGGCAACGAUGCAUAGCCGACCUGAGAGGGUGAUCGGCCACACUGGAACUGAGACACGGUCCAGACUCCUACGGGAGGCAGCAGUAGGGAAUCUUCCGCAAUGGGUGAAAGCCUGACGGAGCAACGCCGCGUGAGUGAUGAAGGUCUUCGGAUCGUAAAACUCUGUUAUUAGGGAAGAACAUAUGUGUAAGUAACUGUGCACAUCUUGACGGUACCUAAUCAGAAAGCCACGGCUAACUACGUG
Molecule: ribosomal RNA, 497 nt
Filed under: uncultured bacterium
Lineage: Bacteria
Description: partial 16S ribosomal RNA
Rfam family: Bacterial small subunit ribosomal RNA
Source: RNAcentral